AAUGAACGCUGGCGGCGCGCCUAAUACAUGCAAGUCGAGCGAGAAGACGUAGCAAUACGUUUGUAAAGCGGCGAACGGGUGAGGAAUACAUGGGUAACCUACCCUCGAGUGGGGAAUAACUAGCCGAAAGGUUAGCUAAUACCGCGUACGCUCCUUGGACUUCGGUUCAGGGAGGAAAGCGAUACCGUGGGUAUCGCGCUCUUGGUUGGGCUCAUGUCCUAUCAGCUUGUUGGUGAGGAACGGCUCACCAAGGCUUCGACGGGUAGCUGGUCUGAGAGGACGAUCAGCCACACUGGCACUGCGACACGGGCCAGACUCCUACGGGAGCAGCAGUAAGGAAUAUUGCGCAAUGGGCGAAAGCCUGACGCAGCGACGCCGCGUGGGGGAUGAAAGUCUUCGGAUUGUAAACCCCUUUCGGGAGGGAAGAUGGAACGAGCAAUCGUUCGGACGGUACCUCCAGAAGCAGCCACGGCUAACUUCGUGCCAGCCGCCGC
Molecule: ribosomal RNA, 494 nt
Filed under: uncultured bacterium
Lineage: Bacteria
Description: bacterial SSU rRNA
Rfam family: Bacterial small subunit ribosomal RNA
Source: RNAcentral